Molecule: ribosomal RNA, 447 nt
Filed under: uncultured bacterium
Lineage: Bacteria
Description: bacterial SSU rRNA
Rfam family: Bacterial small subunit ribosomal RNA
Source: RNAcentral
AUUGAACGCUGGCGGCAGGCCUAACACAUGCAAGUCGAGCGGUAACACAGGGAGCUUGCUCCUGGGUGACGAGCGGCGGACGGGUGAGUAAUGUCUGGGAAACUGCCUGAUGGAGGGGGAUAACUACUGGAAACGGUAGCUAAUACCGCAUAACGUCGCAAGACCAAAGAGGGGGACCUUCGGGCCUCUUGCCAUCAGAUGUGCCCAGAUGGGAUUAGCUAGUAGGUGGGGUAACGGCUCACCUAGGCGACAAUCCCUAGCUGGUCUGAGAGGAUGACCAGCCACACUGGAACUGAGACACGGUCCAGACUCCUACGGGAGGCAGCAGUGGGGAAUAUUGCACAAUGGGCGCAAGCCUGAUGCAGCCAUGCCGCGUGUAUGAAGAAGGCCUUCGGGUUGUAAAGUACUUUCAGCGGGGAGGAAGGUGUUGAGGUUAAUAACCUCAGC